This 64-nucleotide transfer RNA is filed under the name Heterocephalus glaber (naked mole-rat). It matches the Rfam family "tRNA". From Rfam's summary of the family: Transfer RNA (tRNA) molecules are approximately 80 nucleotides in length. Their secondary structure includes four short double-helical elements and three loops (D, anti-codon, and T loops). The record is from Rfam by way of RNAcentral. Lineage: Eukaryota; Metazoa; Chordata; Mammalia; Rodentia; Bathyergidae.
GGGGAUUUAGCUCAGGGGUUCUGGCAUGUGCCUUGCAAGCACAAGGACCCAAGUUCAAUCCCCA